Molecule: ribosomal RNA, 433 nt
Filed under: uncultured bacterium
Lineage: Bacteria
Description: partial 16S ribosomal RNA
Rfam family: Bacterial small subunit ribosomal RNA
Source: RNAcentral
AACGAACGCUGGCGGCAUGCCUAACACAUGCAAGUCGAACGAGACCUUCGGGUCUAGUGGCGCACGGGUGCGUAACGCGUGGGAACCUGCCCUUAGGUUCGGAAUAACUCCCCGAAAGGGGUGCUAAUACCGGAUAAUGUCUUCGGACCAAAGAUUUAUCGCCUUUGGAUGGGCCCGCGUUGGAUUAGCUAGUUGGUAGGGUAAAAGCCUACCAAGGCGACGAUCCAUAGCUGGGCUGAGAGGAUGAUCAGCCACACUGGGACUGAGACACGGCCCAGACUCCUACGGGAGGCAGCAGUGGGGAAUAGUGGACAAUGGGCGAAAGCCUGAUCCAGCAAUGCCGCGUGAGUGAUGAAGGCCUUAGGGUUGUAAAGCUCUUUUACCCGGGAUGAUAAUGACAGUACCGGGAGAAUAAGCUCCGGCUAACUCCGUG